This 382-nucleotide ribosomal RNA is filed under the name uncultured bacterium. RNAcentral describes it as "bacterial SSU rRNA". It matches the Rfam family "Bacterial small subunit ribosomal RNA", at positions 28 to 412 of the family's 1533-position model. The record is from RNAcentral.
GACGAACGCUGGCGGCGUGCUUAACACAUGCAAGUCGAGCGGUAAGGCCCUUUCGGGGGUACACGAGCGGCGAACGGGUGAGUAACACGUGGGUGACCUGCCCUUAGCUCUGGGAUAAGCCUGGGAAACUGGGUCUAAUACCGGAUAUGACUCCAUGACGCAUGUUGUGGGGUGGAAAGCCUUGUGCGGCUAGGGAUGGGCCCGCGGCCUAUCAGCUUGUUGGUGGGGUGAUGGCCACCAAGGCGACGACGGGUAGCCGGCCUGAGAGGGCGACCGGCCGACACUGGGACUGAGACACGGCCCAGACUCCUACGGGAGGCAGCAGUGGGGAAUCUUGCGCAAUGGGCGAAAGCCUGACGCAGCGACGCCGCGUGGGGAUGAC